UAAUACAAACACAACCCAUAUACCGUUUAUCUAUACCGGUAUAUGUUACAUCGUUUAACAAUAUAUCUGUGACAGUCUCGCCACGUAGACGACCGCGAGGCAAUGUUGUUGAUAGUAAUAGUUAGGGAAGCACAUGAGCGUGUCAAGGACCAGGCAAUAAUCACCAACAACUCCGUGCUGUUCCUAAACUCGUAUAGAGAUGGCGGGUUGGCGUGUGUGACGAUCUUGUCUACCUUGGUAUGUUAGGCACGAGAAUCUGGCCAUGGAUGAGAUAGAUCGUUGGGAGUUUCCUGACACCACCCAUGCUUAGGAUAGAGUGGUUGCCACGAGCAAGAAAAGUAACAUGUUGUUUGGGUGUGGAUGAGAGUUGUAUAUGUGUUGAACGCUUGACUAGUAGAAUGGAAAAGGAAGUAUAUAUAACAUCUACAGAGCUACGGAUGUGUAUCAUCUCUC
Molecule: long non-coding RNA, 453 nt
Filed under: Hordeum vulgare
Lineage: Eukaryota; Viridiplantae; Streptophyta; Magnoliopsida; Poales; Poaceae
Description: long non-coding RNA (HVUL_LNC014630)
Source: RNAcentral